UGUACAUGAACUAGCCUCGAUCCCAGGCCGAGUUUUCGCUUUUAUAACGGUUAGGCGAACAACUGGGCCUGGUACUAGUUGUCUGCGCAUGCGUCAAUCGUUCGUCAGAUUCUGACGAAUGGAUAUUCUCGUUCACUUUCGUGACAUUUAUAUUCGUGUACUAUCGUGUACUAGAAGUCAGUUCCCGUUUUAUCAUUAUUGGAAUCGAUUGGAAUGGCUCUUAGCUGAAGCUUCUCUCUUCUCUGAAGCUUAUUCUGAAGACUGAACAACAAGGGAAGAGGUAUAAAGCUUUGUCAAGCUUGUUAAGGUCAGAUAUUUUUGUGUGGGCCCUAUGGCCGGCUAUGCUAUCAAGUCUUGUUCAUGUUUGGCAAGAAUGUAGGUAGACUAUAGUUUCAUCAUUAAUAUGGUGGAUCAAGUGAAGAGUGUGAGCUAGAGAACUUGGUGCUGCCAUCAUCAGCUCGUCGACAAUGACACUAUAACCGAGAAAUUUAAUAUGUAUAGAUCUACACGUAUUUAAAAUGUCUACUUCUCUGUACAGGAGCAAUGGCUAAUAUCCAGCUAUCCCAACAGUGCUCCUCUUGGCUAUACUAACGGACGAGACUGGACAGUUUGAGACACAGGACUGGAGUAUGACCUGCUCAUUCGAGCGUUGCUGGGUAGCUCAGAGACAUCAAGAGAAUCUACGUUUUCUCAAGCAAUGAGUUACGAGUUGGGGC
Long non-coding RNA from Halichondria panicea, 716 nucleotides. RefSeq lists it as uncharacterized. The record is from RefSeq and is a predicted model, not a curated record. Lineage: Eukaryota; Metazoa; Porifera; Demospongiae; Suberitida; Halichondriidae. The transcript is spliced from 2 exons.